Molecule: ribosomal RNA, 743 nt
Filed under: uncultured bacterium
Lineage: Bacteria
Description: bacterial SSU rRNA
Rfam family: Bacterial small subunit ribosomal RNA
Source: RNAcentral
GCGAGCGGCGGAUGGGUGAGUAACACGUGGGGAACCUGCCCCUAAGUCUGGGAUACCAUUUGGAAACAGGUGCUAAUACCGGAUAAUAAAGCAGAUCGCAUGAUCAGCUUUUGAAAGGCGGCGUAAGCUGUCGCUAAGGGAUGGCCCCGCGGUGCAUUAGCUAGUUGGUAAGGUAACGGCUUACCAAGGCGACGAUGCAUAGCCGAGUUGAGAGACUGAUCGGCCACAUUGGGACUGAGACACGGCCCAAACUCCUACGGGAGGCAGCAGUAGGGAAUCUUCCACAAUGGACGCAAGUCUGAUGGAGCAACGCCGCGUGAGUGAAGAAGGUUUUCGGAUCGCAAAGCUCUGUUGUUGGUGAAGAAGGAUAGAGGUAGUAACUGGCCUUUAUUUGACGGUAAUCAACCAGAAAGUCACGGCUAACUACGUGCCAGCAGCCGCGGUAAUACGUAGGUGGCAAGCGUUGUCCGGAUUUAUUGGGCGUAAAGCGAGCGCAGGCGGAAAAAUAAGUCUAAUGUGAAAGCCCUCGGCUUAACCGAGGAACUGCAUCGGAAACUGUUUUUCUUGAGUGCAGAAGAGGAGAGUGGAACUCCAUGUGUAGCGGUGGGAAUGCGUAGAUAUAUGGAAGAACACCAGUGGCGAAGGCGGCUCUCUGGUCUGCAACUGACGCUGAGGCUCGAAAGCAUGGGUAGCGAACAGGGAUUAGAUACCCCUGGUAGUCCAUGCCGUAAACGAUGAGUGCU